This 694-nucleotide ribosomal RNA is filed under the name Escherichia coli. Its description in RNAcentral is "partial 23S ribosomal RNA". It matches the Rfam family "Bacterial large subunit ribosomal RNA", at positions 545 to 1239 of the family's 2925-position model. Lineage: Bacteria; Pseudomonadati; Pseudomonadota; Gammaproteobacteria; Enterobacterales; Enterobacteriaceae. The record is from RNAcentral.
AGAACCUGAAACCGUGUACGUACAAGCAGUGGGAGCACGCUUAGGCGUGUGACUGCGUACCUUUUGUAUAAUGGGUCAGCGACUUAUAUUCUGUAGCAAGGUUAACCGAAUAGGGGAGCCGAAGGGAAACCGAGUCUUAACUGGGCGUUAAGUUGCAGGGUAUAGACCCGAAACCCGGUGAUCUAGCCAUGGGCAGGUUGAAGGUUGGGUAACACUAACUGGAGGACCGAACCGACUAAUGUUGAAAAAUUAGCGGAUGACUUGUGGCUGGGGGUGAAAGGCCAAUCAAACCGGGAGAUAGCUGGUUCUCCCCGAAAGCUAUUUAGGUAGCGCCUCGUGAAUUCAUCUCCGGGGGUAGAGCACUGUUUCGGCAAGGGGGUCAUCCCGACUUACCAACCCGAUGCAAACUGCGAAUACCGGAGAAUGUUAUCACGGGAGACACACGGCGGGUGCUAACGUCCGUCGUGAAGAGGGAAACAACCCAGACCGCCAGCUAAGGUCCCAAAGUCAUGGUUAAGUGGGAAACGAUGUGGGAAGGCCCAGACAGCCAGGAUGUUGGCUUAGAAGCAGCCAUCAUUUAAAGAAAGCGUAAUAGCUCACUGGUCGAGUCGGCCUGCGCGGAAGAUGUAACGGGGCUAAACCAUGCACCGAAGCUGCGGCAGCGACGCUUAUGCGUUGUUGGGUAGGGGAGCGU